Molecule: unclassified non-coding RNA, 258 nt
Filed under: fungal sp.
Lineage: Eukaryota; Fungi
Description: partial internal transcribed spacer region
Rfam family: Eukaryotic small subunit ribosomal RNA (bases 1-46)
Source: RNAcentral
AAGUCGUAACAAGGUAACCGUAGGUGAACCUGCGGUUGGAUCAUUAACAAAUCCAACUAGUCUACACUGAGUCUGAAAAGACAAGGUGGACGACUACAAACACCCUGUGAACUAGUACUGUCUUUGGUAGAGCGUUUAUUCGCACUACCGAUAUAUAUACCCCAUUAUUUUUAAACUGAUUUCUUUAUACCUAGACCUUUGAAAGAAGGAAUAGUCAUUAAUGAAAAACAACUUUUGACAACGGAUCUCUUGGUUCUC